GAUGAACGCUGGCGGCGUGCCUAAUACAUGCAAGUCGAGCGAACGGACGAGAAGCUUGCUUCUCUGAUGUUAGCGGCGGACGGGUGAGUAACAAGUGGAUAACCUACCUAUAAGACUGGGAUAACUUCGGGAAACCGGAGCUAAUACCGGAUAAUAUUUUGAACCGCAUGGUUCAAAAGUGAAAGACGGUCUUGCUGUCACUUAUAGAUGGAUCCGCGCUGCAUUAGCUAGUUGGUAAGGUAACGGCUUACCAAGGCAACGAUGCAUAGCCGACCUGAGAGGGUGAUCGGCCACACUGGAACUGAGACACGGUCCAAACUCCUACGGGAGGCAGCAGUAGGGAAUCUUCCGCAAUGGGCGAAAGCCUGACGGAGCAACGCCGCGUGAGUGAUGAAGGUCUUCGGAUCGUAAAACUCUGUUAUUAGGGAAGAACAUAUGUGUAAGUAACUGUGCACAUCUUGACGGUACCUAAUCAGAAAGCCACGGCUAACUACGUG
Molecule: ribosomal RNA, 497 nt
Filed under: uncultured bacterium
Lineage: Bacteria
Description: partial 16S ribosomal RNA
Rfam family: Bacterial small subunit ribosomal RNA
Source: RNAcentral